GACGAACGCUGGCGGCGUGCCUAACACAUGCAAGUCGAACGGAGUUUAAUUAGAUUGAGGCUUCGGCCAAUUUCUUAUUAAACUUAGUGGCGGACGGGUGAGUAACGCGUGAGUAACCUGCCGUUCAGAGGGGGACAACAGUUGGAAACGACUGCUAAUACCGCAUAACGUAUAGUUUUGGCAUCAUUACUAUACCAAAGGAGUAAUCCGCUGAAUGAUGGACUCGCGUCUGAUUAGAUAGUUGGUGAGGUAACGGCUCACCAAGUCGACGAUCAGUAGCCGGACUGAGAGGUUGAACGGCCACAUUGGGACUGAGACACGGCCCAG
RNAcentral lists this ribosomal RNA (327 nucleotides) under uncultured bacterium. RNAcentral's name for it is "bacterial SSU rRNA". It matches the Rfam family "Bacterial small subunit ribosomal RNA", at positions 28 to 334 of the family's 1533-position model. The record is from RNAcentral.